This 406-nucleotide ribosomal RNA is filed under the name uncultured bacterium. Its description in RNAcentral is "partial 16S ribosomal RNA". It matches the Rfam family "Bacterial small subunit ribosomal RNA", at positions 30 to 526 of the family's 1533-position model. The record is from RNAcentral.
AUUGAACGCUGGCGGCAGGCCUAACACAUGCAAGUCGAACGAGUGGCGGACGGGUGAGUAAUGUCUGGGAAACUGCCUGAUGGAGGGGGAUAACUACUCGAAACGGUAGCUAAUACCGCAUACUAUCGGAUGUGCCCAGAUGGGAUUAGCUAGUCGGUGGGGUAAAGGCUCACCUAGGCGACGAUCCGUAGCUGCUCUGAGAGGAGGACCAGCCACACUGGGACUGAGACACGGUACAGACUCCUACGGGAGGCAGCAGUGGGGAAUAUUGCACAAUGGGGGAAAGCCUGAUUCAGCCAUGCCGCGUGUAUGAAGAAGGCCUUCGGGUUGUAAAGUACUUUCAGCGGGGAGGCGUUACCCGCAGAAGAAGCACCGGCUAACUCCGUGCCAGCAGCCGCGGUAAUUC